UGAGGAAUAUUGGUCAAUGGCCGAGAGGCUGAACCAGCCAAGUCGCGUGAGGGAUGAAGGUUCUAUGGAUCGUAAACCUCUUUUAUGAGGGAAUAAAGUGCGGGACGUGUCCCGUUUUGUAUGUACCUUAUGAAUAAGGAUCGGCUAACUCCGUGCCAGCAGCCGCGGUAAUACGGAGGAUCCGAGCGUUAUCCGGAUUUAUUGGGUUUAAAGGGUGCGUAGGCGGCCUUUUAAGUCAGCGGUGAAAGUCUGUGGCUCAACCAUAGAAUUGCCGUUGAAACUGGGAGGCUUGAGUAUGUUUGAGGCAGGCGGAAUGCGUGGUGUAGCGGUGAAAUGCUUAGAUAUCACGCAGAACCCCGAUUGCGAAGGCAGCCUGCCAAGCCAUGACUGACGCUGAUGCACGAAAGCGUGGGGAUCAAACAGG
This 424-nucleotide ribosomal RNA is filed under the name uncultured bacterium. Its description in RNAcentral is "bacterial SSU rRNA". It matches the Rfam family "Bacterial small subunit ribosomal RNA", at positions 355 to 776 of the family's 1533-position model. The record is from RNAcentral.